Molecule: long non-coding RNA, 853 nt
Organism: Oncorhynchus tshawytscha (Chinook salmon)
Lineage: Eukaryota; Metazoa; Chordata; Actinopteri; Salmoniformes; Salmonidae
Source: Ensembl
UCUAAAGUUACCAUGUUUGUUUCAGCAGAGGAGGAACACAUUGUUGAGAUGAUGACAAUAUAGUUAAAGUAUACAUCAAUAUAUUUUAUAACUUUUUUCUGACAUUUAUUGAUCAAAAUACAGUCUUUGUAAAUGGAUUUCCAAAAGUAGAAAUGGUUACAAAUAAUAACAUUUUACUAAAACUCUCCUGUCUCUGUGUCAGUUUAAUGGUGUCAUCAUUUCAGUUUGGGUCUGUUGUGUUGAGGGUUUGGUAGGUGGAGUCUUGGGUUGUUGAGUUGAGGGUUUGGUAGGUGGAGUCUUGGGUUGUUGUAUUGAGGGUUUGGUAGGUGGAGUCUUGGGUUGAUGUGUUGAGGGUUUGGCAGGUGGAGUCUUGGGUUGUUGUGUUGAGGGUUUGGUAGGUGGAGUCUUGGGUUGUUUUGUAGGUGGAGUCUUGGGUUGUUGUAUUGAGGGUUUGGUAGGUGGAGUCUUGGGUUGUUGUGUUGAGGGUUUGGUAGGUGGAGUCUUGGGUUGUUGUGUUGAGGGUUUGGUAGGUGGAGUCUUGGGUUGUUGUGUUGAGGGUUUGGUAGGUGGAGUCUUGGGUUGCUGUGUUGAGGGUUUGGUAGGUGGAGUCUUGGGUUGCUGUGUUGAGGGUUUGGUAGGUGGAGUCUUGGGUUGCUAUGUUGAGGGUUUGGUAGGAGGAGUCUUGGGUUGUUGUGUCUGGAUUGGUGACUGGCCCUGUGGAACACAACAUAUAAAUCAUGUGUGUGUACGUGCAGUGGUGUGGUAGUGGUGUAGUAGUGUAGUGGUGUAGUAGUGUAGUAGUGUAGUGCUGUAGUAGUGUAGUAGAGGUGUAGUAGAGGUGUAGUGGUGUAGU